This 627-nucleotide ribosomal RNA is filed under the name Stenotrophomonas sp. RNAcentral's name for it is "bacterial SSU rRNA". It matches the Rfam family "Bacterial small subunit ribosomal RNA", at positions 124 to 745 of the family's 1533-position model. Lineage: Bacteria; Pseudomonadati; Pseudomonadota; Gammaproteobacteria; Lysobacterales; Lysobacteraceae. The record is from RNAcentral.
AUCUACUCUGUCGUGGGGGAUAACGUAGGGAAACUUACGCUAAUACCGCAUACGACCUACGGGUGAAAGCAGGGGAUCUUCGGACCUUGCGCGAUUGAAUGAGCCGAUGUCGGAUUAGCUAGUUGGCGGGGUAAAGGCCCACCAAGGCGACGAUCCGUAGCUGGUCUGAGAGGAUGAUCAGCCACACUGGAACUGAGACACGGUCCCAGACUCUUACGGGAGGCAGCAGUGGGGAAUAUUGGACAAUGGGCGCAAGCCUGAUCCAGCCAUACCGCGUGGGUGAAGAAGGCCUUCGGGUUGUAAAGCCCUUUUGUUGGGAAAGAAAUCCAGCUGGCUAAUACCCGGUUGGGAUGACGGUACCCAAAGAAUAAGCACCGGCUAACUUCGUGCCAGCAGCCGCGGUAAUACGAAGGGUGCAAGCGUUACUCGGAAUUACUGGGCGUAAAGCGUGCGUAGGUGGUCGUUUAAGUCCGUUGUGAAAGCCCUGGGCUCAACCUGGGAACUGCAGUGGAUACUGGGCGACUAGAGUGUGGUAGAGGGUAGCGGAAUUUCCUGGUGUAGCAGUGAAAUGCGUAGAGAUCAGGGGAACAUCCAUGGCGAAGGCAGCUACCUGGACCAACACUGACA